This 72-nucleotide transfer RNA is filed under the name Sitophilus oryzae (rice weevil). RNAcentral describes it as "tRNA-Glu". It matches the Rfam family "tRNA". From Rfam's summary of the family: Transfer RNA (tRNA) molecules are approximately 80 nucleotides in length. Their secondary structure includes four short double-helical elements and three loops (D, anti-codon, and T loops). The record is from Rfam by way of RNAcentral. Lineage: Eukaryota; Metazoa; Arthropoda; Insecta; Coleoptera; Curculionidae.
UCUGAUAUGGUCUAGUGGUUUGGAUACCUGGCUUUCACCCAGGAGGCUCGGGUUCGAUUCCCGGUAUCGGAA